Molecule: long non-coding RNA, 568 nt
Filed under: Homo sapiens (human)
Lineage: Eukaryota; Metazoa; Chordata; Mammalia; Primates; Hominidae
Description: long intergenic non-protein coding RNA 1002
Source: RNAcentral
AGCUGAGGCACAUGCCUUGGGAGCUAAGUGGUUGCUGCCCUUGACCACUGUGAAGACUGGUGUGGGAAGGGUCGUUUUGGAUGCACUUGAGCAGGGGUCCCCAACCCCUGAGCCAUGGAGCCGCAAGGAGCCACACAGCAGGAGGUGGGAACAUCCAGUUGCAGGAAAACAAGCUUAACACGCCCACUGAUUCUACAUUAUGCUCCUACCUCCCGGCAGCCUCUCCAGGCCCAGAACUUUCUCCAGUCAGCCUCUACAGACCAAGCUCAUGACUCUCAAUGGCCUAUUUAGGCCCAUACCCUACGUCACGGCAGCCUCCGCAGAUGAGGCUACUGCCUCACAACAGCCUCCACAGGCACAGCUCCAUCGUUACAAUGGCCUCUUUAGACCCAGCUCCUGCCUCCCAGCCUUCUCUCCAGGCCCUGAACUUUCUCAACAGGGUCUCCCUCUGUUGUCCAAGGCUGGAGUGUAGUAGUGCUAUCGCAGCUGACUGCAGCCUCAACCUUCCAGGCUGAAGCGAUCCUCCCACCUCAACCUCCCACGUGGCUGAGACUACAGGUGCUUGCCA